This is a long non-coding RNA of Harmonia axyridis, 748 nucleotides long. RefSeq lists it as uncharacterized. Lineage: Eukaryota; Metazoa; Arthropoda; Insecta; Coleoptera; Coccinellidae. The record is from RefSeq and is a predicted model, not a curated record. The transcript has 2 exons.
UAAAAAAGACAUUAUAGGUCAAGUAGAUCAAUAUUUUAAUAUGGUAACUACUUAGUGCACACCCCUGCAUUAGUUGUUUGCAAGUAAGGAAAAUAGGAAAUAGCAGUUAGGGUUAUCUUAUUCCAAAGGAAAAGACCCAAUAUAAAUAAAUUAUGCAAUAGCUGGGAUAUUCGAAUCUUAAAACAAUAGGUGUUUUACUGUAUGAACUGAAAUGUUAAUCGCAAGAGUUAAAGAAAUCGGAAAAAACCUUCAUUUUAUCACAAAAAGAUCUCCAGAUCUCAAUAGAACAAUAAAGACAAAGCAUGGAAUUAUUCAUCCUGAGCCAAAGAAAGUGUCAUUUGGAAUAUUAAGAGUACUUUUGACUAUAGCCUCAGGGCUGUUCGUUGGUGCCAUGAUAAGUAAAAAUAUUGCAAAUUUCCUAGAGGAGAAUGACUUAUUUGUACCUUCUGAUGAUGACGACGAUGAUGACUAAUAGAAUAAACUUUUUAUAUAACUAAAAUAUUCAAAUUUUCAUUGAAAACUAAGCUUCCUCCUCUGAAUGUUACUAUUUCUUGCCUCUGCAUCUUUUUACUAUAUACAAAAAUUGAGGUCAAUAUGCCUCUCUAUUCUAGUCAUAAACUAAUUAAACAUAUACAGCCAAAAACACAUUUAUAAUGUUCCCUAUUUUGUACAAAAUGAAAUGUAAAUGCUUUGUUAUAUAUUUUAUUGAAUGUUAUAAAAAUUAUAAAUAAAUUAUUAAUGUCAACAA